Molecule: transfer RNA, 74 nt
Filed under: Myotis davidii
Lineage: Eukaryota; Metazoa; Chordata; Mammalia; Chiroptera; Vespertilionidae
Rfam family: tRNA
About the family: Transfer RNA (tRNA) molecules are approximately 80 nucleotides in length. Their secondary structure includes four short double-helical elements and three loops (D, anti-codon, and T loops). Further hydrogen bonds mediate the characteristic L-shaped molecular structure. tRNAs have two regions of fundamental functional importance: the anti-codon, which is responsible for specific mRNA codon recognition, and the 3' end, to which the tRNAs corresponding amino acid is attached (by aminoacyl-tRNA synthetases). tRNAs cope with the degeneracy of the genetic code in two manners: having more than one tRNA (with a specific anti-codon) for a particular amino acid; and 'wobble' base-pairing, i.e. permitting non-standard base-pairing at the 3rd anti-codon position.
Source: Rfam by way of RNAcentral
GCCUGUGUGACUCAGUGGUUACAGUGUCAGCCUGUGUACCAAAUGGUCAUGGGUUCAAUUCCCCAUCAAGGGCA